GGAUGCCUAGUUUAGGUAGAACGUUGUCUUGUGGUGGCAAAAGCAGCAAAAGCUGGCAUCUA
Molecule: transfer RNA, 62 nt
Filed under: Tridacna squamosa
Lineage: Eukaryota; Metazoa; Mollusca; Bivalvia; Cardiida; Cardiidae
Description: tRNA-His
Source: RNAcentral